UUUUACAAUAAAUGUUGUCUGGCACAGAUUUUCAAAGUUCUGUCGGCAGAGCAAGCUUUUUAGAAAUGCUCAUUGUAAGUAAGGUGACCUCACAUGUUUAGAUUGGGAGAUGACAGUGAACAUCUUUUUAAAAAUAGCUAUAGCCUCAGUGAAGGUUUUAAUUUUUAUAUCUAGAAUUUCUCCCUCACCUCACCUCCCUCUUUUUGAUGACAAAGCGGUAACUUCUUUCUCCUCUGCUGUAUUUCCCACAGGAGCUGCAGCAGUAAAGAGCAUGAUCCUCUCCCUCUGUCUGCUCCGGCUGCUCCUCCAACAUCUCUGUAUCUGCCGGCUGAGUCACCGCCCUGUGAGAAUACACAACUCGAGGUAAAUACGCAAACGCUCUGAUCAACACAGCUCUAUUUGAUUCAAACUCUAAACAUCAGUUCACUGUAAACAUUCUGCAUGGCACAUUAAACAUCCUGAAAAUAUCUCUGAGCACAAAUGACUGAGGAGUAAAUGCCAGAUACUGUCUGUUUAUGAGGUUUUAUUUGAUGAUAGGUCAGCCAGCUCGAGUCAGAUUGGAUUAACGCUCACCAUGGUAUGCACGAAGCUGAACAGUCUGUUGAAUUAGAAGUAAAACAACAUCAUAUGCGGUGAAAUAAAACUAUGCUAACUGUAAGAUCAGGUUCAUACAUUCAAAUCUAAAAACAUACUCUCAGAAAAUCGGUACAGAUUAUAAAUAUCUUUAAAAUCCUUUAUCCAGCAAUAAUAGGAGAACAGGGGAAUCAAAAUGGAUGUUAACUACAAAAUGUUGACUGCAAAGUUGAGUCCGAUCAUCCGACCUGAUUUGUCGAUGCAACACAGACACAGGAUCAGUAACAAAAUCAGGGUUAUCACUGAACUGGAGACAAUCACUUGGAGGAACAAACUGUCUGGAAAACAAAGCAGACACGUCAGCCCCAACAGGAUGAACAUGUAAAAAUGUAAAACUUUAAAACUGCUGUCUCUAUCUGCACUCACCUUUGACCUCGAGUAAUACUGUGUUAUUUCCUUGGAUUGUUAUCUUGUGCUCCUGGAUGCAGUUGGAGGGCAGCACCACACAGCUGUAAUGACCCGAAUCCCUCGUGACGGCACUGUCGAUGGUGAAAACCACCUCCAUCCGUGUGACACUAAACUCUCCCACUUGGACGAUGCUCUCAUUCUUUAUUAGGUAGGAGUGGAUGAACUGACAUUCACCAAGUGUUUGCAGGCUGGUAGAAACACUACAUCUGAGCUCAACGUCGUCUCCCUCGCUGACAGCGGACGGCCCGGCCACUGAAAUAUCUGCAGGGACAUAAUUGGCUGUGCAGCGGGAGGAAAAAAUGAGAGCAGGGAACUAAGAUU
RNAcentral lists this long non-coding RNA (1362 nucleotides) under Sparus aurata (gilthead seabream). RNAcentral's name for it is "lncRNA (ENSSAUG00010011758.1)". Lineage: Eukaryota; Metazoa; Chordata; Actinopteri; Spariformes; Sparidae. The record is from RNAcentral.